GUUAACUGAUAAGUCAACACGUGUAGUGAUCUUCUUUAAGUCUUUAUAUCCAAAUUAGAGCCUCAAAUACGAAUGCAGAGACAAAGUUCAAAUACAAAUGCAUGAACUCGACAAAUUCGUGUUUUUGAAAAAGCUUUCAUAACUACACAUCUCCCUACGAUGUGUAAUCCUGUGUAUUUCACUAUCCAUUGGUAGGAACCACGUUUAUAGGGAAAUAAGGUGAGUGAAGACAUGAAGUCACUGGAUUGCGGCGAGUCAAAACCUUCAGCAAUAAAAUAUUGUCUUUUCUCAGCAUAUGCUGCACUGCAGUGUUUGCUGUUAUUGGAAUCGAAUAUCUCUUGUCACUCAAAAACGUUUUAAAGAUUUUUCUCACAACACGUUAAAGAUGCGGUACAGUCCGUAUGUAAACAAAUGCUCUGUUUACAUUUCGGUAUUCAAAAUAUUGAAUUUUAUUCGACAACUAUUUAUAUUUUCAUGAGAUAACAAUCAAGCUUUGCAAGAACAUAAAAUGAAAUAAAAACCUAUAAAUAAACUGUUUGUAAAUAAAAACACAUGCGCAGAUCGGACUGUACCGCAUCUUGAACCAUCAUUGGCAUAUUUUUGCUGUCACUCGCUCUGCUAUCAAGUAUCCUGGUAGUUGUGUUUAAGAAGAUAUAUAAAUAUCACUAUGAUCGAAACAUCGUUACAUCACGUCGAUCAAUACGACGUCAUGUAAACAAUUCAGUUUAAAGUUCUGAAGGAAACCCGACCCAGUAACCCGCAACAUCCCUUGUUAUAUAAACGCAAGUUGGUUUUUAUUGCUCACAAUAGACCUUUCCGGUAAUUACGUCACAACUACAUCGUUUUUAAAUAUGGACCACCUUAAAUGGAAUGGAUUUCAAGUUUUUUUCUCACUGGUUAUGUGCAAAGUAGCAACAUCCUUCUUCAACACAUGCAUGAAAAAGAAUUUUCUAUUUUGACCAAUAAAUGUGGAAAUAAGCUAUAACACGAAAACGAGGCUAAGGGGUCUUGGCCCCUUAGC
Paramuricea clavata is the source of this 1021-nucleotide non-coding RNA. NCBI's taxonomy places the organism in Eukaryota, Metazoa, Cnidaria, Anthozoa, Malacalcyonacea, Plexauridae. The record is from the annotation of a GenBank genome assembly.